CGUGUAGGCGGUUGGUCAAGUCGGGUGUGAAAGCCUGGGGCUCGAGCCCCAGAAGUGCAUCCGAAACUAGCCAGCUAGAGCGCGAUAGAGGAGGGUGGAAUUCCUGGUGUAGCGGUGAAAUGCGUAGAUAUCAGGAGGAACACCGGCGGCGAAGGCGGCCCUCUGGAUCGUUGCUGACGCUGAGACGCGAAAGCGUGGGGAGCAAACAGGAUUAGAUACCCUGGUAGUCCACGCCUUAAACGAUGGGUACUAGGUGUUCGGGGUGUUGACCCCCUGAGUGCCGCAGUUAACGCAUUAAGUACCCCGCCUGGGGACUACGGCCGCAAGGUUAAA
Molecule: ribosomal RNA, 333 nt
Filed under: uncultured bacterium
Lineage: Bacteria
Description: bacterial SSU rRNA
Rfam family: Bacterial small subunit ribosomal RNA
Source: RNAcentral